GGAUAAUAGUUAACCAUAACAUUUAAUUUGCAUUUAAAAGUCAUUGAUCCAAUCAAUUUAUCUUA
This 65-nucleotide transfer RNA is filed under the name Melanesthes exilidentata. RNAcentral describes it as "tRNA-Ala". The record is from RNAcentral. Lineage: Eukaryota; Metazoa; Arthropoda; Insecta; Coleoptera; Tenebrionidae.